Molecule: long non-coding RNA, 3607 nt
Organism: Parus major (Great Tit)
Lineage: Eukaryota; Metazoa; Chordata; Aves; Passeriformes; Paridae
Exons: 2
Source: RefSeq, a predicted model, not a curated record
AUAGCGCUGAGAUGCAGCGGGACUUGUCCCGCCCAGCAACCCUAAGGCUGCUUCGUUUUCCUAGUGGAGGGAACAGAAGCGCUGCGGCUGCAUUGGGGGGGAGACCUGUCAAUCUAACGUGGAUUGGUUAAUCCCGCCCCCUCCGCGGACGCCAUUGGUCAGGCUGCCCCGGGGCGGGGCUUUUCCCUGGAUGCUCGGGUGGGCGGCGGGCGAUUGGUGUGAGGCUCCUUCCGCUUCCGGGUGGCGGCCGCACGUGUGGGUGCUGCUGCUCCUGCCCGGGCCUGCGAUAUCCCCGGCAUGGACCGGCCGCGCUUCCCCUCCCGCGCCAGCACCGUCGGCUCCGCUGGGCCGCGGGGAGGGCUGAGCAGCACGGCGGGGAGGCCUUGCUGGGCGGCCGCUGUUGUGCUCAGCCUCUCCCUUCGGGCCUGGGGGCCCUCGAGGACCUCCGGGCUGUGCCGGCGUCGCCGGCCUUCGGGUGGGAUCUGGGGUUUAACCCGCCGGCCCUUCGGUGGUGCAGGCGGUGGUGGAGAUCCCUCGGGCUGGGACUGUGUUUGGGUCAAGGGAAAUCCGGGGAGAAGGGGCUGAUGGAGCGGGGCUGCGCUGGAGUAGCUGCGGUGCUGAAGCGUGCUGGGGUGCCCCGGUGGCAGCGGGGAGCCGCUCCCCCGUUCAGUCGGCAGCUUCUGUACCCGCAGGCGGCGGAGGCUGUUUGUGGACAGCUGGCAAAGCAUGGCUCUGUCUCCUUCCUGGCUUUGGCCGUGUCCGGGACCGAUUUGACUGCGUUCAGUUGCCCGGGUUUGGUUGAUUUUUGAUGGGCUAAAUCAGGAGGUUUGUCCCUGAGAAGGUAGCGGUGCUUUGCAUGUUCCGAUUUGGUGCUGAGAGCGGAGGCCCGAGUAGUUUUGCACAGCUUGUGCUGUCACCCGAGCAACUGGCAGGGGUGGCAGCGGCAUGGAAGAAUGGGAGCAAGACUGGGCUUGGCUGCCUGCGCAAAAGGAUGGUUCAGUCAGUGCCGGAGCAAGGGCAGGGCUGCCGAAUGUCAGCCAGAGAAGUGCUGGAUUUGGAACGUGUCCUGCAGACGGCCGCCUGUGCAGCCAGCUUUGCUUGCUCUCCUGGGCAGAUGCCGUAUUCUUUCCAAGAACUUGGCGCAGAGCGUGGCGGUCUCCGAAAGCAGCAGGGUCCAUCCUAUAAUGGUUUAAAUCAUCUGUUCAGAAGAAAUAUUAAUGGAAUUCCCAUAAGACUCCUGGCAUUUUGCUGAUGUUCCUGUUAGAAGACCUAUCACCUCAUUUUUGAAAACUCAUAAAAGCACCAGUAUUCAAACUGCAAGGAUUAAAUGCUCAGUCAGUCAUAAACUGGGUUUACUUCAGACAUUCUGCUGCAGAACAGAAUUAUGAUUUAUCAGUUUGUGGUUUGUUCUCACAUGGUACACAAGGAGGUGGAAAUCCAAGAAUGAUGCUGUCAGCAAAAAGGUUUUUAAUUCUUUUGAAAAAGGGGAGGGCUAAAUUAGCUAGUGAGAAAGAAAAGUCUCAUUUCAGCUUAUCAGAACAGGACACAUCUUUAUGUUCAAGUCUGAUAUAUGUGUCAUUCUUAAUUGUGAUAGUGGCUGAAAAUGAAGUCCCUUGUUAUGCCCUAACAAUCGAGCACUAUUUAGGUGGGGUUUUUUUGGUUUUUUUUUGUUGGUUAUUGAAGUUUUUAAGUGGGAUAGCUUGAACUCCUGCUGUUUUGCAUGCCUGGUAAAUAAUCUCAGUGUACCAUCACAGUAACAUCUGGCAGCAGCAACAUAUCCUCAGCUUUGAGAGAAGUAUGAAUGACUAAAAUGUACUUACAAUUCUGGGCUUCCUAACUUGUGAGCACUGAAAACACAUCUGUGAAAAGUUUUGGAAAUGUGCUAGUUUUAAAAAGUUGUGCAACAAACAGCAGAAACAAAGCAAUGCUGCGGGUGUUUUACAGGGAAAUAGACAUUUUGGAACCUGAACUGUACCUGUUAGAUCCUGUUUUGGAUCUAACCUGGAGAUCUAUACCUAAGUUUGUUUCUGAGCUGGAUAGGUAAGAAAAUAAUAUCCAUGGAUUUAUGGCAUAUUCCUAAGAGGAUAUUUGUGUUGGCCUUAAAAUACAGUAGUCCAUUUCAUAAAUGAGAGAGGUGAAGAAUAUUUACAAAAUGACCUGUAUCAAUUUAACUAAUGGGGAUAUAAACAUGACCUAAGGUAGUUUUUUGAUUUAAACCAUGUAAAGAUAGCUUUGGCAGAGAGGGAUCAUGGUGAACAUCCGAGGAGAAAUGUCUGAGCCCCACAUUUAACAAACAGAAUGGAAGGUCAUGUUCAGGCUGCUUGAAUGUGGACCUUUAAAUGAGGCACUCUUUAGACUUAAUUUAGUUCUUAAUGACACUGGUAUCACUGUCUGCCUCUUUGUGAGGUUUUUUUCAGCUUUGUGAGUUGUGACACUGUCCCCAAGCAAGGACAAGUACUGUGACCUCUGUAAGAGAGGAGCAGGUUUAUUCUUUGGGAUAAGUAAGCUGCUUGGAACUGUUCUGGCAUAUGAAAAUCUGCUAAAUCCUUGUUUCUGAAUUUGCAGGUGGUAAUGGUACUUGAGUCUUUCAGUAUUACAGAGGAAGAAUAAUUUUAUAUGCAUCUAUUUCUGUGCAGAACUGAGAAAUACUGCCUCUAAUGAGAGCACCUCUGGCCUCUUUUCAUCCGUGAGUUAGGAUUGCUAAAAUCUUUGAUGGGCCGUAGAAAAAGACUGGGCAAGCUCAAGAAAAAAAUUGAUCUCCUUAUUAUAAAUACAUCAUUGUGGUAUCAAGUCCUGAGCUAUAGAAGGCUAUGGAGUGGAGUUAUGGUAUUGUAACCAAAUGCAUGUCCUGUUCUUUGCUUCCUGUGCACUCUCAUGCACAGAAACAGGGUCUUGGUCUCUGGUAUGGUAAUUUGUAGAGCUGUAAUUUACUUAAAGUGCUGGAAGUGUCUCAGCUUGUAGAAAGGCUGGGAAAACCCCAGGUGCUCACUGCCUGUGAGGUUCUUGUGCCUCAGUUAAGGUCUGCCAGCACACUGUCACGGCAGUGCUGCCAGGGGUGCUUUCACUGGCUCUGUUUAUUUGAGAAGCAUGCAGGUGCAGUGAGGUGCUCAAGAGCGUCUGCGAUUAUCGUGUGUGUCAUGACCACGAGGGGGCCCUGGGAGCUUCGGUCCGGGUGAGGCCAGAGUUACACACUGUGCUACAAGGGCAGGGCUGAUUGCUUGGUACCUCUGGUUACAUCCCUUCUUGGUCAGCACUUCUGAAUUACCUUACCUCUCCUGUAUACUUCUGGUUUUAAUUAAAGUAUUUUGGUAUGUAAUUUUGAGAAAUGCAUCUCGUUACAAAAACUCAACUUGGCUUUAAUAAAUAGCACUGGCUAUUUGAUCUUCUCUGUGGCAGAAGACAGAUAGUACCAAGCACAUCAUUCACAUGUGAGUUUCAUCUCUAUGACCUAUUUCCCCAAGUAAAAAUUCAAGAGUUCUGCACACAAUACUGUAUUUGUAAAGUAGAAGGAAUUGGUAUGAAGAAUCUUAAUGAGGGUUUUUUGUAUAUCUUAAGAGCUUUUAAGCUUGGUACUACAAUAUAUUAAUAAAGAUUCUUUCUGUGCACA